GAUGAACGCUGGCGGCGUGCCUAAUACAUGCCAGUCGAGCGAACGGACGAGGAGCUUGCUCCUCUGACGUUAGCGGCGGACGGGUGAGUAACACGUGGAUAACCUACCUAUAAGACUGGGAUAACUUCGGGAAACCGGAGCUAAUACCGGAUAAUAUAUUGAACCGCAUGGUUCAAUAGUGAAAGACGGUCUUGCUGUCACUUAUAGAUGGAUCCGCGCUGCAUUAGCUAGUUGGUAAGGUAACGGCUUACCAAGGCAACGAUGCGUAGCCGACCUGAGAGGGUGAUCGGCCACACUGGAACUGAGACACGGUCCAGACUCCUACGGGAGGCAGCAGUAGGGAAUCUUCCGCAAUGGGCGAAAGCCUGACGGAGCAACGCCGCGUGAGUGAUGAAGGUCUUCGGAUCGUAAAACUCUGUUAUUAGGGAAGAACAAAUGUGUAAGUAACUAUGCACAUCUUGACGGUACCUAAUCAGAAAGCCACGGCUAACUACGUG
RNAcentral lists this ribosomal RNA (497 nucleotides) under uncultured bacterium. RNAcentral's name for it is "partial 16S ribosomal RNA". It matches the Rfam family "Bacterial small subunit ribosomal RNA", at positions 28 to 507 of the family's 1533-position model. The record is from RNAcentral.